RNAcentral lists this ribosomal RNA (253 nucleotides) under uncultured bacterium. Its description in RNAcentral is "partial 16S ribosomal RNA". It matches the Rfam family "Bacterial small subunit ribosomal RNA", at positions 524 to 776 of the family's 1533-position model. The record is from RNAcentral.
UACGUAGGGUGCAAGCGUUGUUCGGAAUUACUGGGCGUAAAGGGCUCGUAGGCGGCCAACUAAGUCAGACGUGAAAUCCCCAGGCUCAACCUGGGAACUGCGUCUGAUACUGGAUGGCUUGAAUCCGGGAGAGGGAUGCAGAAUUCCAGGUGUAGCGGUGAAAUGCGUAGAUAUCUGGAGGAAUACCGGUGGCAAAGGCGGCAUCCUGGACCGGCAUUGACGCUGAGGAGCGAAAGCCAGGGGAGCAAACGGG